This 506-nucleotide ribosomal RNA is filed under the name uncultured bacterium. RNAcentral's name for it is "partial 16S ribosomal RNA". It matches the Rfam family "Bacterial small subunit ribosomal RNA", at positions 29 to 523 of the family's 1533-position model. The record is from RNAcentral.
AGUGAACGCUGGCGGUAGGCCUAACACAUGCAAGUCGAACGGCAGCACAGGAGAGCUUGCUCUCUGGGUGGCGAGUGGCGGACGGGUGAGGAACACAUCGGAAUCUACUCUGUCGUGGGGGAUAACGUAGGGAAACUUACGCUAAUACCGCAUACGACCUACGGGUGAAAGCAGGGGACCUUCGGGCCUUGCGCGAUUGAAUGAGCCGAUGUCGGAUUAGCUAGUUGGCGGGGUAAAGGCCCACCAAGGCGACGAUCCGUAGCUGGUCUGAGAGGAUGAUCAGCCACACUGGAACUGAGACACGGUCCAGACUCCUACGGGAGGCAGCAGUGGGGAAUAUUGGACAAUGGGCGCAAGCCUGAUCCAGCCAUACCGCGUGGGUGAAGAAGGCCUUCGGGUUGUAAAGCCCUUUUGUUGGGAAAGAAAUCCAGCUGGCUAAUACCCGGUUGGGAUGACGGUACCCAAAGAAUAAGCACCGGCUAACUUCGCGCCAGCCGCCGCGGUAA